Molecule: transfer RNA, 68 nt
Filed under: Marmota monax (woodchuck)
Lineage: Eukaryota; Metazoa; Chordata; Mammalia; Rodentia; Sciuridae
Description: tRNA.Thr
Source: RNAcentral
GGAUUGUGGCUCAGAGGUAGAGCGCUCCCCUAGUAUGCAUGAGCCACUGGGUUCAAUCCUCAGCACCA